RNAcentral lists this ribosomal RNA (466 nucleotides) under uncultured bacterium. RNAcentral describes it as "partial 16S ribosomal RNA". It matches the Rfam family "Bacterial small subunit ribosomal RNA", at positions 28 to 507 of the family's 1533-position model. The record is from RNAcentral.
GAUGAACGCUGGCGGCGUGCCUAACACAUGCAAGUCGAACGAUGAAGCCCAGCUUGCUGGGUGGAUUAGUGGCGAACGGGUGAGUAACACGUGAGUAACCUGCCCUUAACUCUGGGAUAAGCCUGGGAAACUGGGUCUAAUACCGGAUAGGAGCGCCUACCGCAUGGUGGGUGUUGGAAAGAUUUAUCGGUUUUGGAUGGACUCGCGGCCUAUCAGCUUGUUGGUGAGGUAAUGGCUCACCAAGGCGACGACGGGUAGCCGGCCUGAGAGGGUGACCGGCAAGGAUGGGGAUGUGACGCCGCCGGGGCUCCUGCGGGAGGCAGCAGUGCGGGGUGGUGUACGAUGGCCGGAGGCUUGAAGCCGCGACGCCGGGUGGGGGAUGAGGGCCUGCGGGUUCUAAAACAAGAGCAGCCGGGAAGAAGCGAGACAGACGCCUCGUGAAUAGGUAGCACCCGCUCGCUUCAUC